UAUAAUAUCAUUUUGUUAUCAUUUUCACUUUAGAAGUUGCAAGAAUAAUUAGCACACCACAUAAGAAGAAAUGUUGAUGAAGUUCAUUUUAUGAAUAUAAAUCAUAUGGGAGUUUGAUAAUAUGAUUAUUGGUGCAGAUAUUAUGAGUAAAGCGUGAGUGCACUGGUUAUCUUGCUAUAAAAUAUUGAGUAAAUUACAGAUUGUGUAUACGUAGUUUCCGCUUUGUGUAGCUUAUUUUUCAUACUAUAUUGCAAAGCGUGUAUACAGAGUUUAAGUGAUGGUAGUAGUGCUACGUGUACAAGCGUCAACAAUUAAACAGUCUUGUCUCUCUCCAGCCAUCUCUAUCACCAGCGUCUCUGCAACUUUCUCGUCGUCCAUCCCAUCCCUGUUUAACCUCUGCUACCGCGUCCCCAGCCAACGCCAAUAGGCACACCCAAAUCUCCCUCCUCUCUGCAUCUAUGGCAGCCACCGACACUCUGCUUCUUCCGUUCAAAUCCCGACAAGGCCUCACUGUAAAAGCCUCCAUUCAUCCCUCCUUCCACAACCAUCUUCCCCACUGCAACACCCAGUCAAGCAUAUCCAUGUCUCACAACCUUCCCUCGACUAACACCAUAAAUAAACAACUGGAUCCAACGGAAAUAGCGGCAGCCUAAACUUCUUCAAACACACCCCACAAAUCGUAUUAAUUUCUGGUCAGCCUGUUCUUCGCACAACUAUUUCACCCCGACCACAGUAUUCAUCCAUGAUUAUCCUCUGAUUCUAAGUUGAUUUUCUUUUCAAGAUUUAGGGUUUUUUAUUUUGGGGAAGAUCAUGUGCACAGGCUUAUUAUAGCCGUUACGUUGUAAAAGAGCAGUUUAUCAGCCCCUUUCUUAAAAACUAGCUAAGAGCAUCUCCAAGG
Molecule: long non-coding RNA, 898 nt
Filed under: Daucus carota (carrot)
Lineage: Eukaryota; Viridiplantae; Streptophyta; Magnoliopsida; Apiales; Apiaceae
Description: long non-coding RNA (DCAR_LNC004654)
Source: RNAcentral